CAGCUUGCUGGGUGGAUUAGUGGCGAACGGGUGAGUAACACGUGAGUAACCUGCCCUUGACUCUGGGAUAAGCCUGGGAAACUGGGUCUAAUACCGGAUAGGAACGUCCACCGCAUGGUGGGUGUUGGAAAGAUUUAUCGGUCAUGGAUGGACUCGCGGCCUAUCAGCUUGUUGGUGAGGUAAUGGCUCACCAAGGCGACGACGGGUAGCCGGCCUGAGAGGGUGACCGGCCACACUGGGACUGAGACACGGCCCAGACUCCUACGGGAGGCAGCAGUGGGGAAUAUUGCACAAUGGGCGAAAGCCUGAUGCAGCGACGCCGCGUGAGGGAUGACGGCCUUCGGGUUGUAAACCUCUUUCAGUAGGGAAGAAGCGAAAGUGACGGUACCUGCAGAAGAAGCACCGGCUAACUACGUGCCAGCAGCCGCGGUAAUACGUAGGGUGCGAGCGUUAUCCGGAAUUAUUGGGCGUAAAGAGCUCGUAGGCGGUUUGUCGCGUCUGUCGUGAAAGUCCGGGGCUUAACCCCGGAUCUGCGGUGGGUACGGGCAGACUAGAGUGCAGUAGGGGAGACUGGAAUUCCUGGUGUAGCGGUGGAAUGCGCAGAUAUCAGGAGGAACACCGAUGGCGAAGGCAGGUCUCUGGGCUGUAACUGACGCUGAGGAGCGAAAGCAUGGGGAGCGAACAGGAUUAGAUACCCUGGUAGUCCAUGCCGUAAACGUUGGGCACUAGG
This 730-nucleotide ribosomal RNA is filed under the name bacterium SCSIO13070. RNAcentral's name for it is "bacterial SSU rRNA". It matches the Rfam family "Bacterial small subunit ribosomal RNA", at positions 76 to 820 of the family's 1533-position model. The record is from RNAcentral.